RNAcentral lists this unclassified non-coding RNA (627 nucleotides) under Hevea brasiliensis (rubber tree). The record is from RNAcentral. Lineage: Eukaryota; Viridiplantae; Streptophyta; Magnoliopsida; Malpighiales; Euphorbiaceae.
GCAUACUUGAAGAUCAGAAAACAAACAACAAUUGUGUUUUCAAGAAGUAAAACUGGAACUGUACAGGCAUGUACAAAUUAGGAGAUGCAAUUAAAAAGCUCCAUUUUUUUUUGGCUAAUCUUAUCUAACUUAGCUUCAACCCCUGCACCACAAUGACUCGGUCGGGUUCUUCUAAAUCAGGAAAGGUGAUAAAGUAAUCCACCUGCAUUUCUAAAUCUAGCGAGACCAAUUACUUUAUCUUUAGUAUGAUUCAAUCCCCCAAUGGAAGCAUUGAUCAUCUACCUUAUAUGAGUAUCAUAGUGAUCAAAAACAUUAUCUGGCACGAUCAAGGGUAGCUUAUCUAUAAACAUGAAUAGCCGCCUCAGAUUCUCCCUUGUUAUCAUUGACAUGUCCACGAUGUCUUUGUUGUCCAUGUAUACCCACAGAUCACUGGAGUUAACCCUUUUAAGGCUAUCGCGGCAAAAAGGGCAGGAUUGUGACCUUGAACGCCAUUCACGAUAGCAUUUCAAACACAGGGCGUGAUUGCAUUUGGGAAGGACAAUUUUGCUGUUCAUUUCCAUGCAGAUUCCACAUUCCUCUUCCCUUUCAAUGUCAGAGUCAGAAGAUUGUCUGUAAUCCUCAUCAUCU